RNAcentral lists this long non-coding RNA (201 nucleotides) under Nicotiana benthamiana. Its description in RNAcentral is "long non-coding RNA (NBEN_LNC000054)". Lineage: Eukaryota; Viridiplantae; Streptophyta; Magnoliopsida; Solanales; Solanaceae. The record is from RNAcentral.
GAUUUUUGUUGCAGUGCUGAUUCUUCAAGCAGAGACCAUUUUUCCAAUUGCUGCAGCAGGUCAUUUUCUCUCAGCUGUAGGUUAUCUGUAUAUGAUAUGGCCAUCUGUUGUUGGACAACUUCCAGUUCCUUUCUACUAUUCUCAAUCUUCUAUGUAAUACCCUUAAAUUCUCUAGUAUUUAGAGAUUUUAAGGCAGGCUUG